Molecule: ribosomal RNA, 499 nt
Filed under: uncultured bacterium
Lineage: Bacteria
Description: partial 16S ribosomal RNA
Rfam family: Bacterial small subunit ribosomal RNA
Source: RNAcentral
GACGAACGCUGGCGGCGUGCUUAACACAUGCAAGUCGAACGGGCCCGCCCCUGUUUUUGGGGGUGGGUUGAGUGGCGAACGGGUGAGUAUCACGUGAGUAACCUGCCCCCUGCUCCUGGAUAACUGCUUGAAAGGGCGGCUAAUACGGGGUGUGCCGGCUGGUCCGCAUGGGCCUGGUCGGGAUAGUUUCAUCUUCGGGUGUUUCGGUGGGGGAUGGGCUCGCGGCCUAUCAGCUUGUUGGUGGGGGGAUGGCCCACCAAGGCGGUGACGGGUAGCCGGCCUGAGGGGGUGGGCGGCCACACUGGGACUGGGACACGGCCCAGCCUCCUGCGGGAGGCAGCAGUGGGGGGUAUUGCACAAUGGGCGGAAGCCUGAUGCAGCGACGUCGCGUGAGGGAUGGAGGCCUUCGGGUUGUGAACCUCUUUCUCCGGUGGUGAAGGCCCUGUCCGUUGCGGCGGGGUUGACGGUAGCCGGGUAUGAAGCGCCGGCUAACUACGUG